This 744-nucleotide long non-coding RNA is filed under the name Rattus norvegicus (Norway rat). RNAcentral's name for it is "long non-coding RNA NONRATT030479". Lineage: Eukaryota; Metazoa; Chordata; Mammalia; Rodentia; Muridae. The record is from RNAcentral.
GGCAAACUGACUUUCAUUCUCUGGCCCACACCCAUUCCUUUCAAACAGCAUCAUCCUUCCAACACCAAGGAAAAGUAGAUGCCUAAAGGACAGUGUAAGAACAAAUCAACAAGAGUCAGAGCAAUGUGACACCCCAACGAACCAUGUAUCCUUGCAAGCACUUGGUAUCCUAAGGAAACCAAAGUACAAGAAGAUGAUGAAUAAAUUCCCAAGAAAAUAUAUUUAAACAGUUAAAAGCAUUAAACUGUUAAUUAUAAAAUCAAAAAAAGGAAAAAUAAAAAUUUUAAAUAAGAAAAGAAUAUGAAUAAAAAAGGAAAACAGAAAUGUAAGCAACAAAGAAUACUAAAGCAAGGAAUCUUGGAACGGGAAUACAUAGGAAAGUUAACAAGAACUACAGAAAUAAGCAUCACCAACAGAAGCCAAGAGAUAGAAGAUAGAAUCUUACAUAUUGAAGACAUUGAUACAUUGAUACAUCAGUCAAAAGAUGAAAAAUUUAAAAAUUUCAUGAAACAAAACUUUCAGGAAAUAUUGGACACUAUGAAAUGACCAAACCUAAGAAUAAUUGGAAAAGAUGAAGGAGAAGAUUCCCAGAUCAAGGCCAAGAAAACAUCUUUAACAAAAUCAUAGAAAAUUCAUCUAAUCUGAAAAAAGGGUGCUUAUAAACAUAAAAAAGGGUUACAGAGCACGAACAGAUUUGACUAGAAAGAAUCUUUCUGCCACAUAGUAAUCAAAACAAUAAAUGUA